RNAcentral lists this ribosomal RNA (251 nucleotides) under uncultured prokaryote. Its description in RNAcentral is "partial 16S ribosomal RNA". It matches the Rfam family "Bacterial small subunit ribosomal RNA", at positions 525 to 775 of the family's 1533-position model. The record is from RNAcentral.
ACGUAGGGUGCGAGCGUUAAUCGGAAUUACUGGGCGUAAAGCGUGCGCAGGCGGUUUGCUAAGACUGAUGUGAAAUCCCCGGGCUCAACCUGGGAAUGGCACUGGUUACUGGCAAGCUAGAGUGUGGCAGAGGGGAGUGGAAUUCCUGGUGUAGCAGUGAAAUGCGUAGAGAUGAGGAGGAACACCGAUGGCGAAGGCAGCUGCCUGGGCCGAUACUGACGCUGAGGCACGAAAGCGUGGGGAGCAAACAG